CCCAUUUUUGUUCUAUCUUAUUCAUCUUCAUCUUUAAACUUGGGUUUCUUUUCAAAAACAACCUGUAAACAAUCGAUUUGAAAACACCCAUCAAACAAUUACCAAAAUCCACCAGCUCCAUCCACGAACUCCAGCGAAGAGUGACCGCCGCCAUUCCCCUCCCUUUUCCCUUUUUACGUUUUCUUCUAUUGUAUAGGUGUUUUUGGCUCCAACUCCGGUGAACAACGAUCAUGAAUUUCGACGAGGCUCUGCAAAUCAGCAACCACCAUAGCCUCUCUCCCAACGCCAAAAUCAGCAAACCCAUUUCUUGAACCAGUUAACAACACCAACACGGCUCCACGACCGAGCUUCAUCCCAUUUUCCGGUGACCCUCUGUUUGCUUUCAAUUCUAAUAUUUUAUUAUGAUUUAUUUUUCUUUUACAUUUUUCACUCUUUUCUCUGUGUUUCAGAUUUGGUUAGGGAGUUCAAGCUCCCAUAAUUUUUCAUUUUUUCAUAUUCCUUGUUCAAGUUUGUCAUUGAUUGUAUGCUAUUAAACUUUGUUGUGGAUUAUUUUAUUUUUUGGUUUGAUAUUAAUGUUUUUUGGGCAGCGGGUUAGAACUUUUCCAAGCAGCUUUUUUGCUUUAAUUUGCUGAUUUUUUUUUCAACUAUGUAAAAACUUCAGUAAUAAUAUGUACUAUAGUAGCACUUGUAAAGUAUGAACUCCAUCAAUGUCUGCAUUUCUAUCAGCCUGUAGAC
RNAcentral lists this long non-coding RNA (735 nucleotides) under Solanum tuberosum (potato). Its description in RNAcentral is "long non-coding RNA (STUB_LNC005215)". The record is from RNAcentral. Lineage: Eukaryota; Viridiplantae; Streptophyta; Magnoliopsida; Solanales; Solanaceae.